GUAGCCAGCUGAGCAAGUCCCCAGUUAAACCCAGCGAUUUAAUCGUUGGACUGCUGAGGAUACUGUCCGGCUUGGGGGUGAGAGAGGCCGACGGUAUUCCCGGGGUAGGGGUGAAAUCCUAUAAUCCCGGGAGGACCACCAGUGGCGAAGGCUGUCGGCUAGAACAUGCCCGACGGUGAGGGAUGAAAGCUGGGGGAGCGAACCGGAUUAGAUACCCGGGUAGUCCCAGCUGUAAACGAUGCAGGCUAGGUGUUAGUGCGGCCACGUGCCGCUCUAGUGCCGCAGGGAAGCUGUUAAGCCUGCCGCCUGGGGAGUACGGCCGCAAGGCUGAAACUUAAAGGAAUUGGCGGGGGAGCACCACAAGGGGUGAAGCUUGCGGUUUAAUUGGAGUCAACGCCGGAAAUCUCACCGGGGGCGACAGCAGGAUGAAAGCCAGAUUAAAGGUCUUGCCAGACGAGCUGAGAGGAGGUGCAUGGCCGUCGCCAGUUCGUGCCGUGAGGUGUCCUGUUAAGUCAGGCAACGAUCGAGACCCGCAUCUCCAGUUGCUACUAGCCUUGAGCUGGGCACACUGGGGAGACUGCCGCCGAUAAGGCGGAGGAAGGAGCGGGCCACGGCAGGUCAGUAUGCCCCGAAUCUCCCGGGCCACACGCGAGCUGCAAUGGCAGGUACAAUGGGAUCCGACCUCGAAAGGGGAAGGCAAUCUCUAAAGCCUGCCGUAGUUGGGAUCGAGGGUUGAAACCCACCCUCGUGAACAUGGAAUCCCUA
RNAcentral lists this ribosomal RNA (765 nucleotides) under uncultured crenarchaeote. Its description in RNAcentral is "bacterial SSU rRNA". It matches the Rfam family "Archaeal small subunit ribosomal RNA", at positions 521 to 1293 of the family's 1478-position model. The record is from RNAcentral. Lineage: Archaea; Thermoproteati; Thermoproteota.